GUGGUGCAUGUGUUGUUGGGACGGUUUUGACGAACUGACGCUAAAGGGGGGGAGGGGAGCGGGGGAAGAAAUGGCCUGUGGAUCUUCUCUGUGUGGGGACAGCGAGGACAGUCCAGUGAGAGGCUCAAAGUGCUAACAAGAAGUUGUAGUGCCACGUGACUCAGACCUCCAACCGUGCUACCAGUCGAGGCGCCAGAGGACACAGGACACAGGGCAGGACCUGCUGCUGAUGUAGCUGCUCACGAGCAGCUCAGCCCGUCGGAGCAGCUGACGGCCACACCGGCUGCCGAGGCCGUCUGCACUGGUCUGCCCACCGUACCGGAGACGGGGUCGCACCCGGCACCGUUCCCUGACACCGGUGGCUCGCUGACGGCUGCGGCGACGCAGCCGACGGGAGGGUCCUCGACGGGGCCCGGCACGAAGGAUCUGCCCGCGAUGCCUCUGCCAUCUGAGCCAGCUCUUCCGAAGUCUGUGCCUGCAUCGGCUACGGAGAUGGCUCCGCGAAGAUCAUCUCGCGUGCGGAAACAAACUGAGUUUUUCCAGGCGUAACGUGUGUUUUCGUUAUCUAAACUUAUUUGUUAAAGGGAGGAGAGUGUAUUGUACGGUGGAUUGGUGUUAACUGUUACGUUUCACCGAUCUCCGUAGGCCCUGACCGUACAUAUUACCGUAGCUGCGUUUAUGAUACGGGCCCCACCAUACGGCUGCGUCUGCGCAUGCGGGAGCCGGGAGGGUAGGCUGACCCGCAUAUUGCCUGAGGCUCAAUGUGGACGAGCGUGUCGUGUGGACUGGUCUGUGGCAGUGACUGACUGGCGAGCGACCAAUACAGGUUGACCUCUGA
Amphibalanus amphitrite is the source of this 838-nucleotide long non-coding RNA. RefSeq lists it as uncharacterized. The record is from RefSeq and is a predicted model, not a curated record. The transcript has 2 exons. Lineage: Eukaryota; Metazoa; Arthropoda; Thecostraca; Balanomorpha; Balanidae.